GACUACUAAUGCUAUCAUCUGGACCGUCACUCCGUUCCCCGAUUAGUCCCUGCUACGUUCUCAUUUCCUGAAGAGAACGAUGAAAGUAAAAGGGUGAGCUCAACUAGCCCAGUAAGAAAUAUUAUGACUAAGAUAAUGCAAAAUAAAUUAUCGUUAGCCUUCAACAGUGUUAAACUGAUACAAUAUAACAAACAUCAAGUUUAACUGCAGCGGAAUAAGCAAUCCAUUAAAAGAGUCAACUAGAGAAUAAAAUCUACUAUCUUCUAUGAUUUAAAAGAUUUUUCAUCACUUUUAAUGCUGAGACUCAACUUAAUAAAUAAACCACAUCAUCUUUGCACUACUGUAAGACCCCAAAUUAUUAUGAAUAAAAUUAAAUUUUCUCUAUUUAUUAUCUUGAAAUAAUAAAGAGUUAAUUUGAUAUAAUACUUUGGUUAUGGGUGAAAUGUGCAAAUUUUACAAAAUAAGCAAGUGGUUAUAAAAUAUUCAUUUUUUGUCGGGGAAUAUUCGUUUGGUCGUGGAAUAUUCUUGUUGUCGGGGAAUAUUCGUACGACGGCACAAUCAUUCGUGGGCCUCAUAACAGAAUAACUGUCGGAUGAAGAAAACGACAAGUUUGAGUUUUUAUAAAUAACGGCGUAGUUGUUACCGUUAACACUGUUGGAAUACCCGGUGGUUAAGAAUACAGUAAUAUGUGUGAUUGCACAGUAGCACACGGUAUUGCACAGUAUUUUUGAAUUAUUGAUCCUUACGUAAGAAGGCACUACUCAAUAAUUGUUACAGUAGUUACUGUUCAAUAUUUUAUUUUAUUGAUUCAAUAAUUGUUGCGUUGAUAGUUUAUAUUAUUGUUGUUUCAAUAAUUAUCAUUGCACAGUAUUUCCCAUUAUCAGAUCAAUAAUUCAUAUUAUUUGAAUGAUAUUAUUAGAUAGCAUUAUUGGAAAUGUCUAGAAAGUUCUGUCAAAGAGAGGUUUGGUCAUCUAAUUGCGCGCCAGUAAGGAGAAAUCCUUAUCGGAAAGCCCCCUCUUUCCUGGGAACGGCCUGCUUGUCAUAAUUGUGAUUCUGUAAUAUUAUUUGAGAAUAAUUAAUUAUUGAUUUAUAUGAUAAGGAAAUAUUUAUUUGAUGUGGAUAUAAAUGAUAGAUUUAUUUAUUUUAUAUGGUUAUUAAUGAAAGAAUUAAUGCUGAAAUGUUUUAUCAGUAUUUUGUCAGAUUGGGAGGUAUUAAAAAUUACCCGUUUGUGGAUUUCGGAUAUUUUCUGUUUGGAAUUUGGAAAAACUUUCUUCUGUAAAGUUGUAGAGAAUUCAAUUUCAUGUGGAAUGGACAUAAAAUUCAUAUUUUUCUGAUAAACGAACUAUUUUCUAUGAAUUAUUAAAGUUUCUGAUUAUUAUUUAAAUGAUAAAACAUUUUGGAAAAUUCUAGAAUUGGUUGGUGAGAAAAGUGCUCAAUUGAAUUUUAAAUGUGGUGGGUGGCAAUAGUAGCAGGUAAAGCCAUCAGGUAGUAGGUCAAGUCUGCUUCAGCGUGCUAAUAUUUUCCUAUAAAUAGAGGGCUAAGUUAGAAUUGAAAAUCACACCAGAAACAUAAGCUUUCUCUCUUUCUCUCUAUAUUAUCGAGCGUAUUUUGUGCGUAUUUAGAUACUUUGAGAGUUGCUGUUCAGUACAAGUUUCAUUCAGCAUCACUUUCGACCUUUCAUUCUGAAGUACUGAUUCUUUGAGGUAAGGGAUGUUAUUUUCUUUAUAUAUGAUAUUAUUUCUUUCAAUAUCAUUAUGCCGAAGUAUUGAUCUGAACUUUUAAUCAAAUUUAGAACUUUUUGUGUCGGAAUUACUGUAUACGGCACUAUUCACGUAUACGACACUAUUCACGAAUAAGGCACUAUUCACCCAAAAAUGAAAUUUUCUUCUUUUUGUCCAAGAUGUCUAUUAUGGUUACUAUCUUUGAUUGUAUCCAUGUUUUGGUCUUUAUUUUUGAAUUCUGCUUCAAAAUUGGUUAUUAUGAAGUAUUAUUGAUCUUGGAUAAACUGUUAUACGAAUCCCUACUAUUUGUCCUUCUGUCUCACUGGAUUCGUUUUCUUUAAAAUAUUUUUCAUCAUCCUCAGUCCUAAAUGAUGAUAUUACUAAAUAUCUUUGGCCUGUAGUGCAAAGAUAAAUGAUUAACUGAUGAAUAUCUUUGGCCCGUAGUGCAAAGAUGAACAGGUGUUGAGAUGAACAUGACCAACUGGUGAUACAAAUGAAUAUCUUUGGCCUGUAGUGCAAAGAUGAAUAUUUGAUUAAAGAUGUAUAUUGAUUGUUGUUACAGGGAUAAAAUAUUGAUGAUGGACUUUUAAAUCUUAGAAGAUAGUAGAACUCAUUCUCUACUUGACUCUUCUAAUGGAUUGUUGUUUCCGCUGCAGUUGUUGAUCUAAAACUUGUUGUCUAUUAUAUUUUAUCAGAUUUUUCCCUGUUGAAGACUAAUGAUAAUUUGUUGUAUAUUAUCUUAGUCAUAAUAUUCUUUACUGGGCUAGUUGAGCUCACCCUUUUCCUUUUUGUUCCAUUUUUCUUCUCAGGAGGUGAGAACAUAGCAGGAUCUAGUCGGGGUAUGGAGUGAUGGUUCUAGAAAGAUGUUUUAGCAGUCCUCACUAUUUCUGUAAAAUAGUGUUUGAAUAAUUGUAAUGAGGACUUAUUUGAGUGUGGAUAUUGUCUAGAAGACAAUAUUUGUAUUUAAACUCACAGUAUGUGUUGUCGUAUUUUGCACGACAAUUGUAUUAUUGAAGUUGUAGUUUGCUUUCUGUACCAUGUAUUUGGCGACUCAGAAUGGGUGUUGUAUACCUAUUUUGGGGGCGUCAUAGUUACGACCAAAGAUAUUCAUUAGUAUCACAACCACAAAUUAUACAUGCACUUCGGGCCAAGGAUAUUCGUGUAUUCAUCAAUGGUCAUGAUCAUGCCAACAACUGUCCAUCAAUGUACUACGGGCUAAUAAGAACUUUUACCAUAUCAUUUGUAACAUUACGGUCAUGAUUAUACCGAAUAAUCCCUGGUCAUAAUCAUACCAAGUCCAUCUAUGCACUACAGGCCACAGAUGACUUUCAACAUAAUAUAAACAUGAGAAUGAUGAUAAUGAUAUAGGAAUUCAAUAAAACAAGUUUAAGAAUUAAUUUAUCCAGGAACCAAUAACGUCCAAAUUGUCAACAUGAUACUUCUUUGAGGAGUAAAAUUCAAGAAUGCUCAGAAGAAUAUUUUCAUGAAAAGAUACUGGAUGAAGCGCAAAUAUCAAAGAUAUUCCACUAAUUUCAUGAAGUAUAAAAGCCAAAACUUUAACCAACUGAGUAUAAUAAAGAAUGGAAUAACAAAAGAAAUCACCAGGCAUGCGAUAGACCGCACAGACAGGUUAUUCCAAUAGAAUAAUAAAUAACGAAACCAGGUCAUGCGUAAACGCAUAGACAGGAUAUUCCAACAGAAUAAUAAAUAAUGGAACCAGGUCAUGCGUAAACGCACAGACAUGAUAUUCCAACAGAAUAAUAAAUAAUGGAACCAAGUCAUGCAUAAACGCACAGACAGGAGAUUCCAACAAAACAAUAAUUAAUGGAACCAGGUCAUGCGUAAACGCACAGACCGGAUGUUCCAAUAGAAUAAUAAAGAAUGAAAUAAUAGAAGAAUUUCACCAUGUAUGCGGUACUUCGCAUAGACAAGUUAUUCCAAUAUAAUAAUAAAGAAUGGAAUAACAGAAGAAUUUCACCAUGUAUGCGGUACUUCGCAUAGACAGGUUAUUCCAACAUAAUAAUAAAAAAUGGAAUAACAUAAGAAUUUCACCAUGUAUGCGGUACUUUGAAUAGACAGGUUAUUCCAACAUAAUAAUAAAGAAUGGAAUAACAGAAGAAUUUCACCAUGUAUGCGAUACUUCGCAUAGACGGGUUAUUCCAACAUAAUAAUAAAGAAUGGAAUAAUAGAAGCUCUCUUCAUGAAUACGAAAGAAAUAAUACCCCUUACCUUAGAAGAAACUGGAUAUAGGAGUAGUGAAGUAGCAGAAUACUUUUCUUCUUUCUCUCUAUAGUUUCUCUUUCUAGAGUUUCAGUGAAUUUGUAAGAAAUAAUGAAGGAAUGAGCUUUUAUUUAUAGGAGAAUGGACUGAAUAGUAACUAAUUCAUGAACGCUCCAGAUUGAUUUACUUUUAAAUGGACGGUCCAUAUUGAUUUAUUAUGCAGUAUUAAUAAAAUAUUCUAAUAAAACAAAAUCUUUUAAAUAGAAUAUAAUAUAUUCUAUUUAUAAUCUAAUAAAACGAAUAACUUUAUAAAAGUAUUCUGUUUUAUAUAAAAAGAUUUUACUAUGUAAACACUAUGCAGGCACUAUGCAAACACUAUGCAUAAUAGAAUAUUAUAUAUUCUAUUUAUAGUCUAAUAAAACAAAUAACUUUAUAAAAGUAUUCUGUUUUAUAUAAAAAGUUUUCUGUUUUAUUACAUUUAUAAUAAUUAUAAAACAAAACUUAUCACCUUUAUUAUAAUUCACAAUAUUAAUCGACCAGGUUGUUCCCAGGAAAGAGGGGGAUUUUCAAUAAGGAUUUCUCCCUAUUGGCACGCAAUUAGGUGACCAAACCUCUCCUUGGUAGAACUUCUAGACAUUGUUAAUAUUGCAAAUAAUAAUAUUAAUAACUUUGUCAUCUCAAUUAUUGAUAUAAUAAUAUAUAAAAUAUUGACAAUAAUUGAAUCAAAUAACGUGAUAUACUAUGCAGCAAUUAUUGUAGCAAUAAUUGAACAAAACUGAGUGACUUCUCACGUAAGCAUCAAUAAUCAAUACAGUGUGCUACUAUGCAACCACGCGUAUUACUGUACUUUUACUACCGAGUAGUUCAACAGUUUUAACGGUAAAACUUCUGCCAUUAUUUUUAUAAAAAUAAUAUUCCGUUGUGGGGUCCACCAAUGAUUGUACCAUCGUACGGAUAUUCCCCGACAAAAAAGACUAUUCCCCGACCAAUCGAAUAUUAUAUAACAACUUGCGUACUUUGCAAAAUUUAUAAAUACUACCCACAAUUAUAACAUUAUAUCAAAUCCACACCAUAAUAUUCAAAAAAAAUAUUUUGAGAAAUUUAAAUCUUUAUUCAUAAAAUUUGGGGUCUCACAAGUCCUAUUCCUACGAUGUGAGUAAGCUAUAAAUACACGACUAUAUCUUAAAUUACACGUAAUGUCUCUUUGUCAAUUUCACACACUAAAGCUAUAACGUGCCUUUAUUGUCAACCUUUUCCAGCAUGUACUUAUUCUCACACUGGAGAUAUCCCCCGACGACCCUGACUGUCAUGUUCCUUAGUGUGUUUUUCUAUUUUCCGUAUAGGAUUUUGCUCGUUGUUUGGUAAUUGGGCAAGAAGAAGAAUCUUGGUGUUGACAUUGGGCCGUUUUAGUGCUAUUUUUCACAAUCACCUAUUCACUUUGUAAAAAUUAUGGCGAGUAAAGGGAAGAAGGUUUUUGAUCAGGAGAGAUCUUCAAUCAACCCCAUGGUCCAAAUCUAGGGAUCAGUUAAGGAUAGGCUUGGCCCUAACAAACACAUCGUGGACCAGACACAGGCUCAAUUGGCUUCUGCCCGACAUCAAUUAUUUUCCACAAGUGAAAGAACUCCCAAUUCCCACAGUCGUAUCGCGGACAGUCAGUCCUGAACGUGCAUGCGCCAAUAGCAGGAUAGAGAGUUGGAUGGAUGGGACAAGCACAAACUGAUUUAGAUGUGGAAGAUCCAACAAACUCGGGAUGCUAUGGAAGCUCUACGCCUUCAACAAAAGGAGUUGGAUGCACAACUGGCUGAGUUGGAGGGGGAAAUAGAAAUCUCCUUGAGUUGGCCCUGCCAUUGGGAGACCACUCCACAGAGCCAAUCCAUGACAUACAAUUCAGAAGGCUCUAGGGAAAAAAAGGAGUAGAUGUACAUUGCAUUUCACAGUCAAAGAUGAAGGAUGGACGAGGUCUGGACGACGAUAACGAAUUGCCUCCCUAAAGUACGUGAGGGAUCCACCCAUAUCAUCCCCUUUGAAGGAAAAACCUGAACCUGUUAUGAAAAACCUUGCAGAGUUGGAAUAGAAGUUAGUAGCGGUGACUUAGGUGAGUGAGGUGUCGGCCGAUCCGAUGUCCCCCUUUACUCUGGAGAUUUAUCGAGUUCGGGCCAAUCCAACCAAGAAGUUCCCGCCUAUGGAUACUUACGAUGACAAUGGUGACCCUUAUGAUCAUACACACGAAUAUGAUCGUCGCAUGCACUACUAUGAUCACUCUGAUGUCGCCAAGUGUCAAAUGUUCAUUACAACGCUAUAAAAGGGUGCCCGAUUAUGGAUAAUAUCACUGCCAUCGAACUCCAUCGGGUCUUGGAAAGAGUUUAUGCGAUAAAUUCCAUGACUAGUUCGGGAGCAAUAAGAGAAGGGGAAAGUUGACAACGUCUCUUUUGUGGUUUUUCUUUUUCUCAUUUAAUAGACAAAAGCUUAGUGUCUUGUAUCAUGUUUAAUAAAGUGACACCUCCUGCUUCCUUAUAUCAUGAAUCAGCAUUCAUGAAUUAAAAGCUUCUCGUUCCAGCAUACAUGUGUUAUACCCAUAUUUUACUCUACAUCCUUAUUCCCACAUAUAUGUACAUAUAUAGUACAUAUUACACUUCCAAUACACAUAAUAAUUCAUAUUUAUAUUCUAAUUACAUGUAUUUCAAUUAAUUAAACUUAAAUAAUUAUAUAUUUAUAAUUAUGUAUAAAAAUCAUCUCACUAAUUAUGGAAUUAAUCCAUAAAAAACUUAACACUUUUAGUGUAACAAAUUAACUAUUUAAAUAAUCAACAUUCACCCCAUUACCUAAUUUAAAUAACUUAUUUAAAUUAUACAAUCUAUAUUGUAUAAUUAAAUUUAAUUUCCUCCUUCUCUCCAUAAAUUGUUUUCAAACAAUUUAUUUAUAUAUCAAAUAUAUAAUUUAAUAUAUUCAAUCAUUUAUUCAAAUAUGAAUUUAAUUUACUAACUAGUUUAUACCAAUAUACAUAUUUUAUAUAUUGGAUCUCAUCUCAUAUUUUUACUUUACGUCAUUUAGUAUAAUAUUAAAUAUUAUACUAUUAUCCAUGUAACAUACUAUCAUAUAUCCAAUUAUUUUCUUUCCUUUCUAUAAAUUGUCUUCACAAUGUAUUUAACUGUAGUAAAUAUAUUAAUAUAUUCACAACAUUUAAUACACGCAUACAUUACACUCAAUAAUGUAAUAUAUGAUUUCUUCAAUAAAAUAGUGGUUAUACAUGAAGUAUACUUAAUGCCACCAAUCUACCAUAUUAAAAUAAUUUAAUAUCAUAAAUUAUUUUAAUUCUACCUAUCUCAUUUCCUUUAAUAAAUUACCCCUAAAAUUUAUUUACAUAUAAUAAAUAUAUAAUACCAAUAUAUUUAUUAAGCAUAAAUAUCACAUAUUGCAUAGUUAUUACUCAUUUAUGCAAUAUUAUAUCACACAACAUAUCAUCUAAUAAGAAUUUAAGAAUUUUAUUUAUUAAAUUCUUAUUUUAAUAAUUUCCAAAAAUCUGGGUUAUCACAUUCUUCCCCCCUUACAGGGAUUCCGUCCUCGGAAUCACAAUACCGAAUCAUUCAAAAUUGGUUAAUGUUUAUUAUCUCUUGAUCAUGUCAAUCCCCUCUUCGCAACUUUAUUCUGUGAUACUAAAAUAUAUUAUUUUCACAAAUCAUAACAUAUAUCACAUAUUAACAUACAUAUAAACAUGUAUCUCCAAAUAUUUAAUAGCUUCCGCUAUUUUAUACUUAAUCGGUCCUAAAAUUUUCGGACUUAAUUUUUCACCUUUGACCCUCUCCAGAGUCUACUUUCUUUUGUCUCGAUCUGUGUCUAUCCAUCUUUGACAUCAUCUCUAUAUCUUAAUUUCGACAUCCUCUAUGUCUGUUCUUAUUAUCAUAACACCAUAUGUGUUUAUCUUUGUUAAGACACAUUACCAGUGUCUACUUGUUAUUCGGAAAUCUUUAUUCCUCAUAACUCUUACAUUUUUGCUUCUUCAAAGAUUCAUGUACCAUUAUCGUAUUCUAUGACCUACUUUCUUUUAAGGAAGUUCAUUCUUUCUAUACCCAAUCUUCAGAAUAGAAAUUUCCCACAAUUGAUUAAAUAAUUGUGAAGCAAGAUGAAUAAUUCAAGAAUUCAAAAGAUUCGCUUAGAAAGAGAUUUCUGUACCAUGACAAAAAAAAUCAUAAAGUUCAUAAACAUUGUUUCUGAAAAGGUUUCAACAGAAGUUCAUCUGUAAACCGACAUAUCUUACGGACAUAUAGGUGAUCAGCCUGUUUAUGCCCUGUGUUGAUCAAUAAAAUCAUCAUCGUCCUCAGGACGCAAUAUAAAUUUGAACGAUAUUUACGUUCAUCGUCACCGCUAUUUAGCGCAAACAAAACUUCCUAUUUCAAGGAUGUUUUGUAUUGAUCAACACUAUCUUGACGGAACAUUUGCUUUCAGUUCCUCUUUGCCGUCCCCAUGACGCAAUAUAAAAUAAUCCCAUUAUAGGGAAAUUCUUACUCAAUCUGGAGUCCAUACUAAAUCAAUUUAGUUGGAAAGUUCAAAAGCUUAAUAUAAACAAUAUUUGAAUCUGUGUCUAGCCGAUGCUAAUGGCUUUUAACACUUCUUUAUUUAUUUAAAAUACUGAAAAUCAUUUUAUGACUUUGUCAUACUACAUCAUACCAUAAUGGGUUGACGAUCCUUAGAUCACCUCCUACACUUGGUUAAGUUGCAUUGAUGACUCCAUCAUUUGUCAUAUCUACAUCAUAUUAAUGAUGGAUUGAUGACUAUAUAAAAUACAUUUUGAUAUUUUCAACUUUGUCUAGCCAAGUCAAUUAGCAUAGACAUAAGAAACAACCGAACUUUUUAAAACUUAUUGGUUCAACAAUUUGACCCAAUAUAUUUUUUAUAAAACACAAUAAUGCAAUUGUCAGCCCGAUUCCAAUAAAUUUCGAAAUCUAGCAUAGCUACAUGAUUUGGGAAUAUCCAUUUCCUCUUCAUCCACUUUAACUAUUUCCAAAACUUCACCACAUAAUUCUAUUCAUCUCUAACACCAUUAACCCCUACUAUAUUAAAAACAAUCAGUUCUAAACACAUACCCUGGAAUAGUUCAUCAAACUUACCACACAUUAUGUGUUUAGGAACUUGCCAUAAAAAUAUGAGUUUAGGAACUUGUUCUAGCAAUAUGUAGUCCAAGAACUAAUCAGGGACUGUCCAUACGCUUAGGGGCUCAAAAACAUAUCAUAUGAUUAUGAGUCACAAACUUAUCAUAAGCAUGAGUUUUAAGAACUCGCAUCUACUCUUAACAUUCUCUAACUAUCACAUAUAAAUAUUAGAAAAGAAUCACCUUCUCGUCAUAUAUAUAUAUAGAUAGCGCGACACCAACAUUUCAACGAUUAUCAGUGUGAUAAACCAAGUAGUCGUUAAACCAAGCACAAAACUCCUGCCCAUACAAAAGUUUGUACAACUCAGCUACCACAUGAGUACUCAAUUUAAAUCCCAUUUAAUCUCAUCAAAUCUUAUCUUGUUCCUUGCUCAAUACAAAUUUUAUUUAAUUUAUAUUUCAUCAUUCAUAACUCUUUCCGAGUUUUAUUCUUUGUACUAUCUCAUAGUACCAUUUUUAUAUAGCCAUUCUAUUGUAAAUUUCAAUCAUUCGAUUGAUUACCUGUCCUUCUUUGACUUGAUCAGAUCACGUCGUGAUCUUAUCUUAUAAUCGUGUUAUAUUACGAUUUUUUUUCAUUCUAAGAUCGUUUCAUUUUUACGAUCUUCUUAUCUUCUUCCCAAUCGUAUUGGUUUAUAUGAUUAUUAGAAUCAGGUGUCCCCUGAUCCUUUACUUCUUGUCUUCUAAGAUUCUUCUUUGAAUCUUUGCGUAUUAUCUUAACGCAUUCUUUAUGAAUUAUCUAAAUUCAUUUCAAGAUCAUUUAAACCUCAUUUGAGUUUAUGCUUAAUAUAUUCUUUCUUUUCAUCUACCUUCUUUACGGUUAUAGCCUAAGGUACGCCUACCUAAAGUUUAUAACCCAUAGCUUUGAUACCAACUGUAACGCCCCCAAAAUCGGGACCAUUUCCCUUCCCGAUCUUGUGCGUUAAUACUACAUUGUUAUAGCUUUAAAACAUUAUUUAAUGUUAAAAUAGCUAAAAAUGCAGAAUAAAUUUUAAUUUUCUUCUUUAUUCCCAUUCAUUCAUUCCCUGAAUCGCAACCUUUACAAUUCUUCUUUAUACUAAAAUUAUAUUUAUUCUCAUUUCAGAAUAAACAUUCUUUAUCUAUUUAACAUUUCAAACUAUACAUUACUGCCAAUUAUAUUUAGCAACUAUCAAUCAUAGCUUUAUACCAUUUCUAAUUCAAAGAAAUGUAUUCAUUUCGUCCAUCAUUCAUCCUUCAUCAUCCGCAAAACAAAAAUAAUAUUGCAUAACGUCAUUAACCUGCAAAAAGUUUGUGUUUGCAAGAUUGAGCUCGACAGCCCAACAAAUUUAACAGUCUAUCAUGUUUCACAUAGCACACAAUUCCAUAUGCACUACAUUACCCUUAAUAUGCAUAUCCGCAUGCAACAUAUAUUCUUUACUAUGCAUAUCCUACAUGCAUCAAUAAUUCCUUACAAAGCAUACAUUCAUGCAUUAUACAUUUUUAAUUUAUCGAGUUACAUCAUACAACAUGUGUUAUCACAAAUCACAUAUAAAUUGAGUUCCAUAACCCAAUUAACUGAGUCAUAUUUUGACUUUAACAAUUCAUAGAGCAUGAUAUGUAAUUUAGCACAUAACCACAUUCCAUCCACAAACAUAACAGAACUGAAAAACUUGCCUCUAGCACUGUCUAAUAUUAUUGUUUAUCUGCUCUGCGAUGUUCCUACACAAAUUAAAUGUACAUUCAUGCCAUAUCAGUCAAUCAUAUAUUUAAUAUCAACUUAAUUAAUAUUACUAUAUCUUUUUCUUUAAAACUUUCAUUUAGUUUCUUUGAAAGUCUUUAGCUAAUUUCACAAUGUAACUUCUUCUCAUUUCUUGACUUAUACAUUUAACAUGUAUAUAUAUAACUGUAAGUCCAAAUCAGAUUUUUAGUUCAAAACCUCAUACUUUACUAACUCUUACUAUCCUUUAAAUAGAUUCAUUUCAUUUAUAGUUUCUUAAUCGAUUCUCCCCAUAAACUAGUCAUUGCUUUCAUGACUAGUAUUGACCAUCCUUACACAUAUAUUAUCUUUUAACGUUCAAGAUAUAUCAUCAUACGUCACAGCAAAACAGUCUUUAAAGUUUCGUUUUAAAACAAGUUAUAAAACUCAUUUUUAACUAUACGUUAUUUUUCAUAAUAAUGUCAGAACAAAGUUAAGCAUGCAAACUAUGCAAUUUCUCAUAAUGUACAGGAAUUCAGCCUGCACUCGUUUGAAAAAUUUGACUGAAAAUUUUCCACUCCGCCGUCUUUUUUCCUCUCCGUCCUUAAAACAUAAACUGAAUACUACGUUGCCGGAAUUUGAUUCUAAUUGGAAAGAAUUUAAGGUCUAGUUUAAAAGCUUUAUCUCUAAGUGCUUGCAAGUUACAAGAGUAUCUUUGGAGUUCUCCGACAUUAACUUUACACUUAACUGCAAUAACUUUUAUGGGAGAGAGAUUUUAGUUUUGACAAUUUUCCCCAUUUGAAGAAUAUCUAUUUAUGUGUGUUGAAAAUGUAAUAUAAUAUAGAGGUUUUCAAUUUUACUUAAUCUAAUCUCACACACCUCACCAUAUCUCAGUAUUAUUGGGGAAAAUCCUUUCACUUUUAAGUUUUUAGUCUUAGCACCCAGACUCUCAUAUUUUGACCACAAAGGAUAUUUCUCUAAUAUUGUUGUCUGCUAAGGAUGGUUUCUCAUGUUUAGGGAAAGUUGAUAUUGAUAUCCCACAUAUCAAUAAAAAGUUUUACAGAUAUGUGACGCACGAUCUGUAAACAUAUACACAAGGGUAUAAUAUGUGGGUAAAUUGUGAGUAUAAUAGAAAGUGGAUUUUGGGCUCCAAUAGUUUUAAACAAAAGCUAAACUAGCUAGCUGUAACAGUCACGACAACGCAGCGAGUUUGCUGCCCAGCUGAACCAUAACUAACAUGCCCACUUUGCACAUUAUUUUCCCUCAAUUUAUGAAUCCAAUUAUAACAAAAUUGUGAUAUGUUAUAAUUAGUAUAUCAACCCAUUAAAAAAAUACUAACCAAAACAACCACUUGAAACAAGCUUAACAAGUGUCCAAAGUUACCUGGUUGCCACUGAUUUACCAACACAGUCAUUCCAUUCAUAAGACAUUAAGCAGCCCCAAACUUAAAAUUAGUUUGUUCAACUUUCUUCAGUUCUUAUAAAAAAAAAGAUAUAAAAAUUUAUAAUUCAUAAAUUGGACCAAAAUUCUUUUAUUUAUGCUAAGAGCUUAUAAGAAACCUUUUAUCAAACAUAACAUAGGCAUUUAUUUUGGGGGCAAAGAUCAUACAUGUUCGCACGUGUAAAUCCAAACUUUCUUCUUCCAAUACUCCUCACAAUAACAACUAAAUUCCCUCUUUUCUAAUUCAUAGUUAUCACAAUUCAAAUCCCAGUUCAAUUUUUCAUUUAACAUUAUUUUAGCCCCAUAUUUGCAUAUACAUAUUCCAUUACUGAAAUUGUAGAAUAAUCUCAUAACUUACCUCCUUAUUUGCUUUUUAAUUCAAAUUCCUAGAAAUCCUCCUUUGAAGACCAAUUGAUUGUAGUACUUCUGUCCUUUCAAUUUGAUUUACUCGCCUAAUUUGAUGAUUACAUCGGAGCCUAAGAAGAUUUCGACACAAGCUUUGAAGUGCAGUUCCGAAACCAAAAAGAAAGAAGAAGGAAUCUAUCUUAGCUUGGUAAUAAAUUUUUUUUUAAAAUGAACAAGAGAUGGAAUGCAGCAGAGCAUAGAGGACUUACUUAGCUGAGUCAAUCUAAUUACUUACUUAAACUAUGCCACCUCCUAAUCCCAAAAUGAUACGCCCAGGUUUUUUUUUUUUUACUGAGUAUGUUUUGUGGUUUUUCUUUUUCUCAUUUAAUAGACAAAAGCUUAGUGUCUUGUAUCAUGUUUAAUAAAGUGACACCUCCUGCUUCCUUAUAUCAUGAAUCAGCAUUCAUGAAUUAAAAGCUUCUCGUUCCAGCAUACAUGUGUUAUACCCAUAUUUUACUCUACAUCCUUAUUCCCACAUAUAUGUACAUAUAUAGUACAUAUUACACUUCCAAU
RNAcentral lists this long non-coding RNA (13099 nucleotides) under Panax ginseng (ginseng). RNAcentral's name for it is "long non-coding RNA (PGIN_LNC010287)". Lineage: Eukaryota; Viridiplantae; Streptophyta; Magnoliopsida; Apiales; Araliaceae. The record is from RNAcentral.